AUGUGGGAGGAAUGCUUGCCUCAUAUUGAAUUUGCUUAUAAUCGUUCAUUGCAUUCUACUACUAAGAUGUGCCCUUUUGAAGUUGUGUAUGGUUUCCUACCUCGUGCACCUAUUGAUUUGUUGCCUCUUCCAUCUUCGGAGAAGGUUAAUUUUGAUGCUAAACAACGUGCUGAAUUGAUUUUAAAAAUGCAUGAGUUAACUAAGGAAAACAUUGAGCGCAUGAAUGCUAAAUAUAAACUUGCUGGAGAUAAGGGUAGAAAACAUGUUGUGUUUGCACCUGGAGAUCUUGUUUGGUUACAUUUGCGUAAGGAUAGAUUUCCUGAUUUGCGCAAAUCAAAGUUAAUGCCACGUGCUGAUGGUCCCUUUAAGGUGUUAGAGAAAAUAAAUGAUAAUGCAUAUAAACUUGAGCUGCCUGCAGAUUUGGGGUUAGUCCCACUUUUAACAUUGCAGAUUUGA
RNAcentral lists this ribosomal RNA (456 nucleotides) under Triticum aestivum (bread wheat). RNAcentral describes it as "partial small subunit ribosomal RNA". The record is from RNAcentral. Lineage: Eukaryota; Viridiplantae; Streptophyta; Magnoliopsida; Poales; Poaceae.